RNAcentral lists this unclassified non-coding RNA (418 nucleotides) under soil metagenome. Its description in RNAcentral is "partial contains 5.8S ribosomal RNA, internal transcribed spacer 2, and large subunit ribosomal RNA". The stretch from base 1 to 120 matches the Rfam family "5.8S ribosomal RNA", at positions 35 to 154 of the family's 154-position model. The record is from RNAcentral.
GAUGAAGAACGUAGCGAAAUGCGAUAAGUAAUGUGAAUUGCAGAAUUCAGUGAAUCAUCGAAUCUUUGAACGCAUCUCGCGCUCCUUGGUAUUCCUUGGAGCAUGCCUGUUUGAGUAUCAUGAGCAAAUCUCAAAGUCAAUUCCUUUUGUUGAUUCAAUUGGUUUUGCUUUGGACUUGGAGGCCUUGCAGAUUUCACAGUCUGCUCCUCUUAAAUGCAUUAGCUGGAUCUCAGUAAUUAUGCUUGGUUCCACUCGGCGUGAUAAGUAUCACUCGCUGAGGACACUGUUAAAAAGGUGGCCAGGAAAAUACUGAUUGAACCGCUUCUAACGGUCUAUUAAGUUAGACAAUUACCCUUAAGUUUGAUCUCAAAUCAGGUAGGACUACCCGCUGAACUUAAGCAUAUCAAUAAGCGGAGGA